CAGCCGCCGCGGGAAUACGUAGGUGGCAAGCGUUGUUCGGAAUUACUGGGCGUAAAGCGUGCGCAGGCGGUUAUGUAAGACAGGUGUGAAAUCCCCGGGCUUAACCUGGGAACUGCGCUUGUGACUGCACAGCUAGAGUAUGGCAGAGGGGGGUGGAAUUCCACGUGUAGCAGUGAAAUGCGUAGAGAUGUGGAGGAACACCGAUGGCGAAGGCAGCCCCCUGGGCCAAUACUGACGCUCAUGCACGAAAGCGUGGGGAGCAAACAGGAUUAGAUACCCCUGUAGUCCCUGUCUCUUAUAU
RNAcentral lists this ribosomal RNA (301 nucleotides) under uncultured bacterium. RNAcentral's name for it is "partial 16S ribosomal RNA". It matches the Rfam family "Bacterial small subunit ribosomal RNA", at positions 509 to 809 of the family's 1533-position model. The record is from RNAcentral.